This 732-nucleotide ribosomal RNA is filed under the name Phyllopsora nigrocincta. RNAcentral describes it as "SSU rRNA". It matches the Rfam family "Bacterial small subunit ribosomal RNA", at positions 350 to 1051 of the family's 1533-position model. Lineage: Eukaryota; Fungi; Ascomycota; Lecanoromycetes; Lecanorales; Ramalinaceae. The record is from RNAcentral.
AGCAGUGAGGAAUAUUGGUCAAUAGCCUAAGGGCUGAACCAGCAACUUGGAGGAAUGUAUGGUUAAAGCUAAUUGUAGCAUAAAUUAUGGCACAAUAUCGAUUUAAUCGAAUAAAAUUCUGGGUAAAAUUUGAAAGUGACAAUUUUUAUCUAUAUUUCUUGACCAAACCACGUGCCAGCAGUCGCGGCAAUACGUAGUARAUAARUGUUAUUCAUCUUUAUUAGGUUUAAAGGGUACCUAGACAGCAAAUCAAGCUUUUAUAUAUACAUUAAUUAGUACUAAUUUGCUAGAGUUACUUCUGAGGGGGCUCAAAAGUACUAUCGGUGUAGAGAUAAAAUUCAUUAAUACCCUAUCUUAGAAAUUAAUGGCACUGGUAAAAGUGAAAGCAUCCUCUUAUGUGAUAACUGACGUUGAGGGACGAAGGCUUUGGUAACAAACAGGAUUAGAUACCCUAAUAGUCAAGGCAGAAAAUGAUGAGUGUCAUAGAUUAGGUAAUACUUAUUCUAUAAAUUAAAGUGUAAGCACUCCACCUCAAGAGUAAUUUGGCAACAUUGGAACUGAAAUCAUUAGACCGUUUCUGAAACCAGUAGUGAAGUAUGUUGCUUAAUUAGAUGGUACGCAAAGCACCUUACCACAAUUUGAAUAGAUACUAAUAAUAAUUAUUAAUAAUUUUUUAAUAAAAAGUAUUAAGCGUUUUUUUUUAAGAUUUCGUUUACAGGUGUUGCACGGUUG